This 398-nucleotide ribosomal RNA is filed under the name uncultured bacterium. Its description in RNAcentral is "partial 16S ribosomal RNA". It matches the Rfam family "Bacterial small subunit ribosomal RNA", at positions 523 to 918 of the family's 1533-position model. The record is from RNAcentral.
AUACGUAGGGUGCGAGCGUUGUCCGGAAUUACUGGGCGUAAAGAGCUCGUAGGUGGUUUGUCGCGUCGUCUGUGAAAUUCCGGGGCUUAACUCCGGGCGUGCAGGCGAUACGGGCAUAACUUGAGUACUGUAGGGGAGACUGGAAUUCCUGGUGUAGCGGUGAAAUGCGCAGAUAUCAGGAGGACCACCGGUGGCGAAGGCGGGUCUCUGGGCAGUAACUGACGCUGAGGAGCGAAAGCAUGGGUAGCGAACAGGAUUAGAUACCCUGGUAGUCCAUGCCGUAAACGGUGGGCGCUAGGUGUAGGGGUCUUCCACGACUUCUGUGCCGUAGCUAACGCAUUAAGCGCCCCGCCUGGGGAGUACGGCCGCAAGGCUAAAACUCAAAGGAAUUGACGGGG